CAAAUCCUGAUAUGUUCGUUAUGUAGUCGUCUUUUUAAACCGAACACUUUUUAAUAGGGAAUCCAAUAUUUAUUUAUGAAUUUGACGCCUCGUGAAGGAAGAUAUUUAUAAAUGUGCGGAUACCCACCUGCUGAGCGCGGGUUUAGUUGACGCUAAAAGUAUGACGGCAUGAUUGGGAUUUGU
This 183-nucleotide non-coding RNA is filed under the name Kurthia sibirica. RNAcentral describes it as "6S / SsrS RNA". It matches the Rfam family "6S / SsrS RNA". From Rfam's summary of the family: E. coli 6S RNA was the first non coding RNA to be sequenced, but its function was unknown until recently. It consists of 184 nucleotides that fold into an extended hairpin structure with a large single-stranded internal bulge. Lineage: Bacteria; Bacillati; Bacillota; Bacilli; Caryophanales; Caryophanaceae. The record is from Rfam by way of RNAcentral.